CAGUCGCCGCGGUAAGACAGAGGAUGCAAGCGUUAUCUGGAAUGAUUGGGCGUAAAGCGCCUGUAGGUGGCUUUUCAAGUCCGCCGUCAAAUCUCAGGGCUCAACCCUGGACAGGCGGUGGAAACUACCAAGCUGGAGUACGGUAGGGGCAGAGGGAAUUUCCGGUGGAGCGGUGAAAUGCGUAGAGAUGUGGAGGAACACCAGUGGCGAAGGCGACUCUCUGGUCUGUAACUGACGCUGAGGAGCGAAAGCGUGGGGAGCGAACAGGAUUAGAGACCCCGGUAGUCCCUGUCUCUUAUAC
Molecule: ribosomal RNA, 301 nt
Filed under: uncultured bacterium
Lineage: Bacteria
Description: partial 16S ribosomal RNA
Rfam family: Bacterial small subunit ribosomal RNA
Source: RNAcentral